GCUUUUGCAGAGGACCCAGGGGAGACCAGAAGAGGGAAUUGGACCACCUGGAGCUAAAGUUACAGAGGGUCCUCAGAAUAGAGUUCUCAUCUUCUGCAAGAAUAUACAUGACCUGGCACUUAAUAA
Long non-coding RNA from Mastomys coucha (southern multimammate mouse), 126 nucleotides. RefSeq lists it as uncharacterized. NCBI's taxonomy places the organism in Eukaryota, Metazoa, Chordata, Mammalia, Rodentia, Muridae. The transcript has 3 exons. The record is from RefSeq and is a predicted model, not a curated record.